GAUGAACGCUGGCGGCGUGCCUAACACAUGCAAGUCGAACGAUGAAGCCCAGCUUGCUGGGUGGUUCAGUGGCGAACGGGUGGGUAACUCGUGAGUAACCUGCCCUUAACUCUUGGAUAAGCCUGGGCGACUGGGUCUAAUACCUGAUAGGAGAUACCACCGCCUGGUGGGUGCUGGAAAGAUUUAUCGGUUUUGGAUGGACUCGCGGCCUAUCAGCUUGUUGGUGAGGGAAUGGCUAACGAAGGCGACGACGGGUAGCCGGCCCGAGAGGGGGACCGGGCACACUAGGACUGAGACACGGCGCAGACGCCAACGGGAGGCAGCAGUGGGGAAUAUUGCACAAUGAGCGCAAGCGUGAUACAGCGGCGCCGGGUGAGGGAUGACGUCUUUCGGGGUGUAAACCUCUUUCAGUAGGGAAGAAGCGAAAGUGACGGUACCUGCAGAAGAAGCACCGGCUAACUACGUG
RNAcentral lists this ribosomal RNA (466 nucleotides) under uncultured bacterium. RNAcentral describes it as "partial 16S ribosomal RNA". It matches the Rfam family "Bacterial small subunit ribosomal RNA", at positions 28 to 507 of the family's 1533-position model. The record is from RNAcentral.